Molecule: non-coding RNA, 45 nt
Organism: Schistosoma rodhaini
Lineage: Eukaryota; Metazoa; Platyhelminthes; Trematoda; Strigeidida; Schistosomatidae
Source: Rfam
AUCCGGCUGACGAGUCCUGAAUAGGACGGAACGCACCUCCUGGAU